Microdochium bolleyi is the source of this 106-nucleotide transfer RNA. It matches the Rfam family "tRNA". Rfam says of the family: Transfer RNA (tRNA) molecules are approximately 80 nucleotides in length. Their secondary structure includes four short double-helical elements and three loops (D, anti-codon, and T loops). Lineage: Eukaryota; Fungi; Ascomycota; Sordariomycetes; Xylariales; Microdochiaceae. The record is from Rfam.
GGUCUCGUGGCCCAAUGGCAAGGCGUCUGACUACGACGAUCCAAGAAUACCAUCUUGGCUCGAAUCUGCAAUCAGGAGAUUCUGGGUUCGAUCCCCAGCGAGAUCA